GAUGAACGCUAGCGAUAGGCCUAACACAUGCAAGUCGAGGGGCAUCACAUGAAGUAGCAAUACGGAUGGUGGCGACCGGCGCACGGGUGAGUAACACGUAUGCAACCUGCCUUCAACAAGGGGAUAACCCGUUGAAAGACGGACUAAUACCCUAUAACACAGGGGUCCCGCAUGGGAAUAUUUGUUAAAGGACAACCGGUUGAAGAUGGGCAUGCGUUCCAUUAGCUAGUUGCGGGUAACGGCCCACCAAGGCAACGAUGGAUAGGGGAACUGAGAGGUUUAUCCCCCACACUGGUACUGAGACACGGACCAGACUCCUACGGGAGGCAGCAGUGAGGAAUAUUGGUCAAUGGACGCAAGUCUGAACCAGCCACGUCGCGUGAAGGAAGACGGCCCUACGGGUUGUAAACUUCUUUUAUACGGGAAUAAAGUGCCCCACGCGUGGGGUUUUGCAUGUACCGUAUGAUAAGGAUCGGCUAAC
Molecule: ribosomal RNA, 481 nt
Filed under: uncultured bacterium
Lineage: Bacteria
Description: bacterial SSU rRNA
Rfam family: Bacterial small subunit ribosomal RNA
Source: RNAcentral